Molecule: ribosomal RNA, 469 nt
Filed under: uncultured bacterium
Lineage: Bacteria
Description: bacterial SSU rRNA
Rfam family: Bacterial small subunit ribosomal RNA
Source: RNAcentral
UCCCAGACUCCUACGGGAGGCAGCAGUGAGGAAUAUUGGUCAAUGGGCGGAAGCCUGAACCAGCCAAGUCGCGUGAGGGACUAAGGCCCUGCGGGUCGUAAACCUCUUUUGCCGGGGAGCAGUGGUCCGGACGCGUCCGGACCGGGAGAGUACCCGGAGAAAAAGCAUCGGCUAACUCCGUGCCAGCAGCCGCGGUAAUACGGAAGGUCCGGGCGUUAUCCGGAUUUAUUGGGUUUAAAGGGAGCGUAGGCCGGCUUUUAAGUCAGCUGUGAAAGUCCGCGGCUCAACCGUGGAAUUGCAGUUGAAACUGGAGGCCUUGAGUGCACACAGGGAUGCCGGAAUUCAUGGUGUAGCGGUGAAAUGCUUAGAUAUCAUGAAGAACUCCGAUCGCGAAGGCAAGUGUCCGGGGUGCAACUGACGCUGAGGCUCGAAAGUGCGGGUAUCAAGCAGGAUUAGAUACCCCAGUACU